UACGGAAGGCAACAGUGGGGAAUAUUGCACAAUGGGCGAAAGCCUGAUGCAGCUAUGCCGCGUGUAUGAAGAAGGCCUUAGGGUUGUAAAGUACUUUCAUCGGGGAGGAAAAACAAAACUAAUAAUUUUAUUUCUUGACGUUACCCGAAAAAGAAGCACCGGCUAACUCCGUGCCAGCAGCCGCGGUAAUACGGAGGGUGCUAGCGUUAAUCAGAAUUACUGGGCGUAAAGAGCACGUAGGUGGUUUUUUUAAGUCAGAUGUGAAAUCCCUGGGCUUAACCUAGGAACUGCAUUUUGAAACUGAAAUACUAGAGUAUCGUAGAGGGAGGUAGAAUUCUAGGUGUAGCGGUGAAAUGCGUAGAUAUCUGGAGGAAUACCUGUGGCGAAAGCGGCCUCCUAAACGAAUACUGACACUGAGGGUGCGAAAGCGUGGGGAGCAAACAGGGAUUAGAUACC
Molecule: ribosomal RNA, 456 nt
Filed under: uncultured bacterium
Lineage: Bacteria
Description: bacterial SSU rRNA
Rfam family: Bacterial small subunit ribosomal RNA
Source: RNAcentral